This 514-nucleotide ribosomal RNA is filed under the name Lacticaseibacillus paracasei. RNAcentral's name for it is "bacterial SSU rRNA". It matches the Rfam family "Bacterial small subunit ribosomal RNA", at positions 48 to 525 of the family's 1533-position model. The record is from RNAcentral. Lineage: Bacteria; Bacillati; Bacillota; Bacilli; Lactobacillales; Lactobacillaceae.
GCUAUACAUGCAAGUCGAACGAGUUCUCGUUGAUUCUCGGUGCUUGCACCGAGAUUCAACAUGGAACGAGUGGCGGACGGGUGAGUAACACGUGGGUAACCUGCCCUUAAGUGGGGGAUAACAUUUGGAAACAGAUGCUAAUACCGCAUAGAUCCAAGAACCGCAUGGUUCUUGGCUGAAAGAUGGCGUAAGCUAUCGCUUUUGGAUGGACCCGCGGCGUAUUAGCUAGUUGGUGAGGUAAUGGCUCACCAAGGCGAUGAUACGUAGCCGAACUGAGAGGUUGAUCGGCCACAUUGGGACUGAGACACGGCCCAAACUCCUACGGGAGGCAGCAGUAGGGAAUCUUCCACAAUGGACGCAAGUCUGAUGGAGCAACGCCGCGUGAGUGAAGAAGGCUUUCGGGUCGUAAAACUCUGUUGUUGGAGAAGAAUGGUCGGCAGAGUAACUGUUGUCGGCGUGACGGUAUCCAACCAGAAAGCCACGGCUAACUACGUGCCAGCAGCCCGCGGUAAAA